This 374-nucleotide ribosomal RNA is filed under the name uncultured organism. Its description in RNAcentral is "partial 16S ribosomal RNA". It matches the Rfam family "Bacterial small subunit ribosomal RNA", at positions 527 to 896 of the family's 1533-position model. The record is from RNAcentral.
GUAGGUGGCAAGCGUCGUCCGGAAUUAUUGGGCGUAAAGCGCGCGCAGGUGGGUUCUUUAAGUCUGAUGUGAAGGGCCCCCGGGCUCAACCGGGGAGGGUCAUUGGAAACUGGGGAACUUGAGUGCAGGAGAGGAAAGUGGAAUUCCACGUGUAGCGGUGAAAUGCGUAGAUAUGUGGAGGAACACCAGUGGCGAAGGCGACUUUCUGGCCUGUAACUGACACUGAGGCGCGAAAGCGUGGGGAGCAAACAGGAUUAGAUACCCUGGUAGUCCACGCCGUAAACGAUGAGUGCUAAGUGUUGGGGGGUUUCCGCCCCUCAGUGCUGCAGCUAACGCAUUAAGCACUCCGCCUGGGGAGUACGGUCGCAAGACUG